This 5554-nucleotide long non-coding RNA is filed under the name Strigops habroptila (Kakapo). RNAcentral's name for it is "lncRNA (ENSSHBG00005021153.1)". Lineage: Eukaryota; Metazoa; Chordata; Aves; Psittaciformes; Psittacidae. The record is from RNAcentral.
AUAUUGCUGGGAACCACGAUUUGAGGAGGAAUAUUUUUGAAAGUGCAAUGUCUGGUCCCAAUUACAGCUACAGCCCAAAGUCAAAAGACACACGACACUCAAUCUUAUAAGAUUUUGUGCUGUCUUUGCAAAGUUCCCAAUGAAAGGCUAUGAGCAAAGCUCCAGGGCUCAGUGAGAACAUCUUUGAACAUUUUGCGUGGUAUGUAUUUUGCUUACAAGCUGUACACUCUUGUUCAGGUGUACUUUAGUUCUCUUGCACUGCUGUAUUCCACUACAAAGCUCCAUCAUCUUCUAAGAAAGAUGAGACUUUUGAAUGCUAAUAUUUAUUUUAAAGCUAGAAUACUGAAUGUGCAAUGACCUUCCCAUUUCUUUCAAAUGUCGUGACUUCAAACUGAAACAGUGACACAUACUAAUGAGUAUGUUUACACGGAUGUAUUAAAAACAAGCAUAUUCCUGUGGACUCAAAGUCUGCCCCAUCCCUCAGCUGCCCCAAGCCUCCCCCCGGCUGAGCCAGGGAACCAGAGCAUCAGCAUCUGCCUGACCCCAAGCAAAACACUUGUCCGGUGGUUGCUUCCAAGCAGGGAGAGCAAGCUCCUGCAGGAUGGGAUGCGAGCAUGAAUAGUCACAACAUGCAAAGCCACUUCCUUCAGCAGCAAGGCUGCGUGUGGCACAAGAGCUCACUGAGGCUCCAGCUGGACUCCAGCACUUCAUACCCAACAACUUAAAUGGCCCACAGUGCUGUAAACAAAACUCAUCAGCACACCAGUCUGGUUAUUUUAAGGCAGUCUAAAUGACAGCUAUGUGUAAAUUCAGCAUUUACUAGUUACCCAGAUACACUGAAAACUGGAAAAAAAUUAAGAAGUAUCUCUCAGCGUUAAGCCUUCUGCAUAGUUUUAAGCUUUGCAGCACUGCAGCACUAGCUCUUCUUCUGCUUGUUCUUGGGAAGCAGUUGAACAUUUCCUAGCACGUGAGGCCAACGUGACUUCCUUUUGUUAACUCUCGGACCCAUGAAAGUGCUGCUGGAAAAAAAAGAAAAGAAAAAGGAAAAUAGGGGUUUAAAGAUGCUCUAAACACAGCAAAUAACGAAGGCUGUAUUAAAGCGGUGUAAGAAGUAUGUGGCACAUACACAUAUAUGCGUUACUGGUGAUGGUGAAGAGAAAUACUGAUCUGCUGUCUCAUUCGAAGAAGGUGACAGCACCCAUGAACCACGCCAUCCACCCUGAGCCUGCUGGGAUAGUGCCUCUCCUCCCAUCAACAAGGACCACGAUGGAAGAGGAAGGCGCACCAGCAACCUUUCAAAUUCCUUAUCCAUAAAUAAGAAGAGCCCCUGGCACUGACUAGAUGAUUAUGUUAGAUCAGAAAAGGUCGACUUGAAAGGGAAUCAUCUCCAGCAGCACAGCCACCAAGGAAAAGGACGAGUGGUUUUGGUCAUGGUUACCCAACAAGGAAAGCGCGUGGGACUCCCAUAUUUAAACAGGCUUUUUGCCAGAUGCUCUUCUCAUUUAUGGACAAAGAAUUUUCCACUGGAAACUCAAAGAAGUGUUUUCUUUUUAGUCAUACAGUUAAUUUUAAAGAAAAUGAAAAGUUAAACUAGCCAUAUUUAAAUUAAGCAGCUAAUUUCCAUCAUUCAGCCGCUGAGCUUAAAAUUCCACGUAGUGUUGACAUGAAAGAUACUGCUCAUCUGUCAAUAGUUAUCACUAAUUAAAUGUUUCUUAUAAAUGCACUCUUUUUUUGACUGUUUGCUAGGAUGAAUCUGUCCUGCAAGGACUAUUCAUUGGCUUAAACUGGGAAUCCACAACUGAAACCAACAACAGAAAACCCCAAAUAUAUACCAGAAGAGAUUAACCAGAACAACCCGUGUUCCAGAGCUCGGCUCAGCACCAUGAUGGAAACAGCGUUAACCAUGCCCAGGAAGAUCCCAGCGCUGGUUCAUUCUGUACCUCUGGAGAGGACAGUGUCACCAAACACACAUAUCUGUGUCUGCAUAGCCCUUGCUAGCCACUAUUUUGCUAUUUAAAUUCAAAGCAAAUGCUAAUGCUGAGUUUUGUGACAUCUCCGAGUACAGUGCUGCAUUGCCACCGGCAGUCCCACACUGAACUAAACUACAUGAGCUAAAGGAUGAAAGGAUUCAUAAAUGGAUACAUAGAUGUUUUAAGAGUGUCAUGAUACAAAUUAUUUUUUUCCUUUAAAUUAAGCUCUAAAGCAGCUACUUUCAACUAAAUGCAUGGGAGCUACUGCUCUCUGUAUCCACAAUACUCAACUCUUGUACAUGGACUGUAUCUUAUGUUCUAGGUCAAGAAGAAUUUCCCUAUCUCCAUCCAGCUGUGCAGUUUUAUGGCUGAGCAGAGGAUAAUUAACCUCAGUGGUUUGGUCAUUACGAGCCUCUGGAAUGAUGCUGGAGAAGCACGCUUUUAGAGACAGGAUAAGGUAUGGAAGUGACACAUCGACCAUCCUCCACAGCAAAUGGCUUUGUCCACUGAUGGAUGAAGGACCCUGAGCCGGAUGGACAACUUGUCCGAUGCAGUGUUAUAGCCUAUUAAUCGUCUUUGCUCUUCCCAUCCCAGGGCUUUGCCAGCUCAGAGGCACACAGCAGCCUUACAGUUCUCCAGGCCAGAUGGAGCCUUUGAGGUGUGUCCAUUUGGUAUCAAGCAGAACCGCCUCCUCAGCCACGCACGUCAAUGAACCAGAGAAUGAAAUUAACUCCAAAUGGUCUGCAGAGCACUCCCGAUGGCAAAGCCAGCCAGAUAAAGCAAGGUAAGGGUUUUUUCCAAAAGCUAACUGCAUAAUAUAAAGCUAAAAAUACAUUAAACACUUACUGUUUUUUUCCCUACAAUUAAUUGCUGCACUUUCCCAGAGACAUCAUUUGGCUAGAAAGUCUCUGAAAAAGAGGUGUUUCUUACAAGUUUGUAUUUAUUUAUUUGAGAUCUUCUUGUCAGAUACAAUUCCCACAGUUUAGGAGGAACUGCAUUGAUUGCUUACUAAUGAAUUGUUGAGGUCUAGCUUGAAAUAACCCAUCUAUAGGUUAACAGUAAACCAAUAUAAAGUAAUUUUUUAGAUUCAGUAAAUGAUUUCAAAUAUGAUCAUAUAAUUACUAUACAGAAAGUGUUGUAAGGAAGGAAGCAGACCACAGUGAGCACUGCAGGCACGCUGGGCAAUGAUGCUGGUGUGUGCCAUGGCAAUGGAUGGCAGCCCAGGUCCCCUAAAACCCUGAUGGGUUUGCAUGGCAUCUUCUGAAGCUGAGAAUGAAAAUCAAAGCUGCAUUCAUCCGUACUGCAGAUAUGGCUGCCGAUAUGUUUGCUUUGGCACAGGACAUUCUCUGUCUUACAUCAGUAUUCUCUCCCUUCUAGUAAUUAAAAACCUAAACUUGAUUACUUAUUUAAAUCCAGAGGAUGUUAUCUCAAAGUAUUUCCAAAUGUCCUUGGAGCUCACAACGGCAAAAACUCUCUGUAGCAGCCUUUAUCUCAUAGCAAAAUCCCACUAACAAAAUAGUUAAAUUUGAGUUUAAAUUGCUUGAGGACAACUGAUUUUUCACUUCCAUAAAUACUUUUGCAAUCCUGCCUCUAUUUAUCAGUAUUUAAACCACUUUAGAGAUGACCAUACAAAUAUCAUUUGUACUGUCCUUUUAUCGUAUGCAGAUUUUGUUCUAUCAUGAAGUAUCUGACACUCUCUACCUUUGUUUUGCUGAAUUUAAGAUAGGAUGCAAACAUCAGAAAAAAUUUACACUGAAUUAAAGUAGGAAUUAGUAAGCUGUUUUCCAUGCAAAUUAAAAAAAAAAAAAAAGGAAACUGAAAAAAUGAGGAAGUUAAUUUCAACUUUUAGUAAUCUAAAGCUUUGUAACUACCACUAAGCCAGAGAAGAGAUUGGUCACAAAAAUCUAUUCUAAGAAAUAACUGAUUAAAAUCAAUCUAAAGACCCACCCUGCAAAUACUAUGCCCUUUGUCUUAACUGGAACUGCUCACAUGAUUUAUAGCUGCUUAUGUAAGGUUGGAGAGUGCCUAAAUAAGAUGUUUGUGUAAUACUGGGGCCUGAGAAGGCUGCGAGGUACAAACGGCAACACAGCUGCACCACCUCAUUCGAAUACCCAAACGUCAUCACUCUCACAAGAUACCACCAGGACACCUCAGUGUCACUGCCUCUACGGAUUUCAUUACAGUUACCGUUCCUAUCGAGCCUUUCAGAAACACACAUAUAACUAAUUCUGGGUAAGUAACAUUUUAAGUUGGCAAAAGAGACAGAAUCUGUGCUCAGAACCAGUACUGGUGACUCCAGAGGAGUCUAAAACCAGCCUCAAAUGCCAAUAUAGAAUUUGUAUGAAAUCCAACCAGUAACGUAUCUGAGAAAGCACAUACCUGCACAGGAAUCACUCUACUGAAGAAGUGUCACACUUCACUACAGAGAAAGGUAAUAAUGUCCAAAAAUAUGCUGGUUAAUGAGGUUCCACCGUAUUACGGGGAACUUGUGGAGGAUGCAAGAUAUUCAAAAGGCUAAAAAGGAGAAAUAUAGUAGCUGGGUGUGGGUGAUGGGACAAAGAGGGGCAUAAAACAGACCAAACCAUUUGCUUUUCAUAGAAUGCCCCCCAGGAGGGUCAGCUUUUGCAAGGUCUCAGCUGGAACCCCAGAACAGUGUGUAUAUGGCACAUUGGUUUUCCCCUCAUAAUUCCUUCUCCUCUAAAGGAGGCUAGAAAAGGAAAAUAAUGAGAGGGAUUAGAGGCAUAGGGAACAUGACUUAUAAAGGAAAAUCAGUUGCUGUAGCCUUACUUCCUCUGGAAAAGAUAAGGCCAAGGAGAAAUGGAAAUAGACUUCCAAAGUGUAAAAUGCCCACUUCUCUCCUUAACAGGGUUAUACGUGUCACUCACUUUGCAGUAAAGAAAUAACCACCCUUUUAAUGCUGGCAGUAGUUAAGCAAAUUAACACUAGGAGACUGCGGAAUCCUCAUCAUUGGGUAUCUACAUUGAGCCAUUAAAUAAAGACCUAGCAGCCCCUUUCCCACCAUCAUACGUACAGGACUUGUGAAGACAUCAGACAAAUGAUUGGAAGCCCAGUAAUUUAACAAAACCCAUUUGAGCUCCCAAACUCCAUCUGAUAUUACUUUUAGUAUAGUUAUGAGGAAUACAAAUGACUGCAUCUGUGAAACGUUAGAGAGAAAAAUAUUUUCUUCUUCAUCUGACACCUUUGUGGGUUUGUCUUGACCUUAACUGAAGAGUGCCAGGUAUCAGCCAACACCUUCAGACAAGAACAGACAUACCCUGAAAGUCUGGGGGAUAAAAAGUAGUAUUGCCAAACCCAACUACUCUAGAAAACAUAAUAUAGACCCCCAAAUUAGAUAGAAGAUAUCAUUCUUUGUCUUCUAAAAAUUAUUCUUUGACUUCUAAAAUGAGUGUCCAGCUGGUUUUGUCUAGCUUUCUCUGGAAGUGGAGAACGAUGGCUGCACACUGCAGAUGUGUGCUCACCUGUACUCAUCUCACUGCCACAGCUCCCUUCUCUGGCAGGCAGCCUCCUCACUGCUCCAUCUGGAGCAGAGAGCCCUUCCUAGGGAGCAGCAAUGUUUUGAACCC